CCUACGGGAGGCAGCAGUGAGGAAUAUUGCGCAAUGGGGGAAACCCUGACGCAGCGACGCCGCGUGAAGGAUGAAGGUUUUAGGAUCGUAAACUUCUGUUAAGUGGGAAGAAAGACUACGUGUUAAUAGCACGUGGGGAUGACGGUACCACUAAAGAAAGCACCGGCUAACUUCGUGCCAGCAGCCGCGGUAAUACGAGGGGUGCAAACGUUAUUCGGAUUUAUUGGGCGUAAAGGGUACGCAGGCGGUUUGUUAAGUCAACUGUUAAAUCUCCCGGCCUAACCGGGAAUCAGCGGUAGAUACUGGCAGACUAGAGGAUGGAAGAGAGAAGUGGAAUUCUUGGAGUAGAGGUAAAAUUCGUAGAUCUCAAGAGGAACACCGAUGGCGAAGGCAGCUUCUUGGUCCAUAUCUGACGCUCAGGUACGAAAGCGUGGGGAGCAAACAGGAUUAGAUACCCGGGUAGUCC
This 466-nucleotide ribosomal RNA is filed under the name uncultured bacterium. RNAcentral describes it as "bacterial SSU rRNA". It matches the Rfam family "Bacterial small subunit ribosomal RNA", at positions 338 to 796 of the family's 1533-position model. The record is from RNAcentral.